RNAcentral lists this transfer RNA (86 nucleotides) under Chloroflexota bacterium. RNAcentral's name for it is "Chloroflexi bacterium (anaerobic digester metagenome) tRNA-Ser". It matches the Rfam family "tRNA". From Rfam's summary of the family: Transfer RNA (tRNA) molecules are approximately 80 nucleotides in length. Their secondary structure includes four short double-helical elements and three loops (D, anti-codon, and T loops). Lineage: Bacteria; Bacillati; Chloroflexota. The record is from RNAcentral.
GGAGUGAUGGCCGAGCGGACUAAGGCGACUGACUUGAAAUCAGUUGUGGGUUUACCCCACCGUGGGUUCGAAUCCCUCUCACUCCG